GCUGUCACAUUGGAACUAGGCAGGGACUAGAUAGGAAUUCCGGUCCCAGACUCCCUGCACAUCCCUGUCCUCGCGCAGGACGGGAUGCUUCAUGCAGCGGGGCGUGUUUCCGGCGGGCCGCGUUCGCUGUGACACAGCGCCCCCACCUCGUGCCCCGCCCCCGCGCCUUUCGCGCUUAGGUGUUCAUUCCUCAGCCCUCUGAAGACUUCGGUUAGACCGUUUGGACCUGCGAGGACGGUGCUUCCCGUCUCUAGAAAUGCCUGUUAAAAGAUCAUUGAAGCUGGAUGAUCAGUUUGAAGAAAGUUCAUUUGAUCCUUCAAGAAUCACAAGCAAGAGAAGUAUGACAGAGUAUUCUCCAACAACUGGAACUUGUCGAAUAAGCCCAUUUUCUUCUCCCACAACCUCUGAAAAGCAAGAGUACAGAGCCUCAUUAUCAUGUGGAAAGAGAAGUAAACCAAAUCACCCCAUUUUAAUUCGAAGGAUGGACUCUACCACAAAAGAGAAUGACGAAUUAAUGAUGUUGCUAUCUAAAGUUGAACAAUCAUCAGAAGAAAUCAUGAAGAUAAUGCAGAAUUUAAGAAGUACACAGGCCUUGGAAGGCAAUAGAGAGCUUGAAAAUCUCAUUGGCAUUUCCCAUGCACCAUGUUUCUUAAAAGGAGAAGUGGAGAAAACCAAAGAACUAUUGAUAAAAGUAACAAAACAAAAACUGUUUGUAAAGAAGAGUUCAGAACUUCCUCAAAAAGCUGCUGUAGCAAGAUAUAAUGGCCAGCCUCUGCUCUGCCAUACUUUCUCCAUGAUGGCAAAUAUUCCACUCAAGACUGUAAGCCAAAGUAAACCUUUUCCUCCCAUCCGCUGCUUCUGCCUGGGUAUUUUGUCCCAGCAACAAGAAGAUUGCUGUCUUCCUUCUCUGCCUGGAAAAUUCUUGCUUAUCUGACUAUAAGCUCACUGUCACAUGUCCUAUCCUCUGUGAAGACUCCCUUUUCCUAGAACAUCAUCUUGACAGCUAUGAAUUCCUUAAAGCCAUUUUAAACUGAGACACUUAGAAGAAAUGCAUUAUGAACACAAUGUCUGCAUCUGCCUGCUCAUAUUUAAAGGAACAGAAGCACUGCGUGAAAUUCAUCUGCCCAGUAAAUACCAGCUCAUACCACCAGGCAGGUGCAAGUCUAGAUAAAAUUUCUUGCAGCUAAUUUAAACUUUCUACACAUACGAGUAGAUAAUCUCAAUGUAAAUACUGUAUUUCUUCUUGACCCUUCAAUGUAAGCUAGGACAUAGGAGAAAGUUGUAAAGUUUCAUACCUUCUUAGAAAAUAUUGGAAUACAUUUUUAGUACAGACAUUUAACUAUGAAGGAUGUUUUGCACUGAAUUUAGACUACAGUAAAUUUAAAGAAAAGACCUUUAUUCUGGGCAGCAUGUGAUCCCUUUCAAUCAUUCUAAAGCAUCAGCUUGAACUUCUACUAAUCAUUGUGUUGGUGCCACUGAGUACCUGUGUUGUCAGAUAAAUAGGGGAAUAGGGAUCCCAAGUAUGUCAUAUCUUGAUAACAUGGUUUUAAAGACCCAUAAUUGGCCAUUCCAACAGAGAACAAAAUUCUUUUCCUGGGUAUGCUCCCUCAAUUUGGGGAAAAAAAAAUUGUGUAAAAUAUCAUUUAAUUCAGUAUAUUAUGAAAAUAAAUAUCCUGUACAAAAAUCUGAAAUUAAGGUUGAAGAAGCUGGGUGUGAUGG
Jaculus jaculus (lesser Egyptian jerboa) is the source of this 1719-nucleotide RNA transcript. It is a transcript of the gene named integrin subunit beta 3 binding protein, with no coding region annotated. The record is from RefSeq and is a predicted model, not a curated record. The transcript has 11 exons. Lineage: Eukaryota; Metazoa; Chordata; Mammalia; Rodentia; Dipodidae.